Nannospalax galili (Upper Galilee mountains blind mole rat) is the source of this 1299-nucleotide RNA transcript. It is a transcript of the gene named ribosome biogenesis protein WDR12 pseudogene, with no coding region annotated. The record is from RefSeq and is a predicted model, not a curated record. The transcript has a single exon. Lineage: Eukaryota; Metazoa; Chordata; Mammalia; Rodentia; Spalacidae.
ACCAGCGCGUACAUUCUGUGGAGAAGUCUUCGCGUGUACUCCCUGCCAUGGCACAGCUCCAGGCACACUUCUACACUGACAACAAGAAAUAUGCAGUAGAUGAUGUUCCCUUCUCAAUCCCUGCCACCUCAGAAAUUGCUGAAGUUAGUAGCAUCAUCAAUAAAUUGCUGGAGGCCAAAAAUGAGUUCCACAAGCAUGUCGAGUUUGAUUUCCUUAUCAAGGGCCAGUUUCCUCAAAUGCUCUUGGUCAAACAUAUGGAACUGGAGAACAUUUCAUGGGAAGAGGUUGUGGAACUGGAAUAUGUGGAGAAAUACACUGCACCCCAGCCGGAGUGGUGCAUGCUCCAUGAUGACUGGAUCAGUUCAAUCAAAGGAGCAGAAGAAUGGAUCUUGUCUGGUUCUUAUGAUAGGACCUCUCAGAUCUGGUCCUUGGAAGGAAAGUCAAUAAUGACAACUGCGGGCCACACAGAUGUUGUGAAAGAUAUGGCUUGGGUGAAAAAAGACAGUUUGUCUUGCUUACUUACUACUUUCUUAUGGGAGUGGAAUGUAGAGAGGAACAAAGUGAAAUCCCUGCACUGCGGCAGAGGGCAUGCUGGGAGUGUGGAUUCUAUAGCUGUGGAUAACUCAGGAACUAAAUUUUUCAGUGGUUCCUGGGAUAAGAUGCUAAAGAUCUGGUCUACAGUCCCUACAGAUGAAGAAGAUGAAAUGGAGGAAUCCAUAAAACAACCAAGAAAGAAACAAAAGGCCAAGCAAUUGGCGCUUACAAGGACUGACUCCCUUGGUGACCCUCUCCAGCCACACAGAAGCAAUUUCCUCAGUACUUUGGUCAGAUCCUGAAGAAAUCUGCAGUGUUUCUUGGGAUCACACAAUUAGAGUGUGGGAUGCUGAGUCUGGCGGUCUGAAGUCAACUUUGACAGGAAAUGAAGUGUUUAAUUGUAUUUCUUAUUCUCCACUUUGUAAACAUUUGGCAUCUGGAAGCACAGACAGGCAUAUUAGACUGUGGGAUCCCUGAACAAAAGAUGGUUCUUUGGUGUUGUGUCCUUCACCUCUCAUACAAGCUGGGUAACAUCAGUAAAGUGGUCUCCUACCCAUGAGCAGCAGCUGAUUUCAGGCUCUUUAGAUAACAUUGUCAAGCUAUGGGACAUCAAAAGUUGUAAGGCUCCUCUCUAUAAUCUAGCUGCUCAUGAAGAUAAAGUUCUAAGUGCAGACUGGACGGACACAGGGCUACUUCUGAGUAGAGGAGCAGACAAUAAACGAUUCCUACAGAUAUUCACCUACCACUUCCCAUAUGGGGUCUUGA